GGGAAUCUACCCAUUUCUGCGGAAUAGCUCUGGGAAACUGGAAUUAAUACCGCAUACGCCCUACGGGGGAAAGAUUUAUCGGGGAUGGAUGAGCCCGCGUUGGAUUAGCUAGUUGGUGGGGUAAAGGCCCACCAAGGCGACGAUCCAUAGCUGGUCUGAGAGGAUGGUCAGCCACAUUGGGACUGAGACACGGCCCAAACUCCUACGGGAGGCAGCAGUGGGGAAUAUUGGACAAUGGGCGCAAGCCUGAUCCAGCCAUGCCGCGUGAGUGAUGAAGGCCUUAGGGUUGUAAAGCUCUUUCACCGGUGAAGAUAAUGACGGUAACCGGAGAAGAAGCCCCGGCUAACUUCGUGCCAGCAGCCGCGGUAAUACGAAGGGGGCUAGCGUUGUUCGGAAUUACUGGGCGUAAAGCGCACGUAGGCGGAUAUUUAAGUCAGGGGUGAAAUCCCAGAGCUCAACUCUGGAACUGCCUUUGAUACUGGGUAUCUUGAGUAUGGAAGAGGUAAGUGGAAUUGCGAGU
This 520-nucleotide ribosomal RNA is filed under the name uncultured bacterium. RNAcentral describes it as "bacterial SSU rRNA". It matches the Rfam family "Bacterial small subunit ribosomal RNA", at positions 120 to 674 of the family's 1533-position model. The record is from RNAcentral.